UACGUAGGGUGCGAGCGUUGUCCGGAUUUAUUGGGCGUAAAGAGCUCGUAGGCGGUUUGUCGCGUCGGCCGUGAAAUCUCCACGCUUAACGUGGAGCGUGCGGUCGAUACGGGCAGACUUGAGUUCGGUAGGGGAGACUGGAAUUCCUGGUGUAGCGGUGAAAUGCGCAGAUAUCAGGAGGAACACCGGUGGCGAAGGCGGGUCUCUGGGCCGAUACUGAUGCUGAGGAGCGAAAGCGUGGGGAGCGAACAGG
RNAcentral lists this ribosomal RNA (253 nucleotides) under uncultured bacterium. RNAcentral's name for it is "partial 16S ribosomal RNA". It matches the Rfam family "Bacterial small subunit ribosomal RNA", at positions 524 to 776 of the family's 1533-position model. The record is from RNAcentral.